GAGACAGCAGCAGCCGCGGUAAUACAGAGGGUGCGAGCGUUAAUCGGAUUUACUGGGCGUAAAGCGUGCGUAGGCGGCUUUUUAAGUCGGAUGUGAAAUCCCUGAGCUUAACUUAGGAAUUGCAUUCGAUACUGGGAAGCUAGAGUAUGGGAGAGGAUGGUAGAAUUCCAGGUGUAGCGGUGAAAUGCGUAGAGAUCUGGAGGAAUACCGAUGGCGAAGGCAGCCAUCUGGCCUAAUACUGACGCUGAGGUACGAAAGCAUGGGGAGCAAACAGGAUUAGAUACCCCCGUAGUCCCUGUCUCUUAUAA
This 308-nucleotide ribosomal RNA is filed under the name uncultured bacterium. Its description in RNAcentral is "partial 16S ribosomal RNA". It matches the Rfam family "Bacterial small subunit ribosomal RNA", at positions 505 to 809 of the family's 1533-position model. The record is from RNAcentral.